Molecule: transfer RNA, 75 nt
Filed under: Dreissena polymorpha
Lineage: Eukaryota; Metazoa; Mollusca; Bivalvia; Myida; Dreissenidae
Description: tRNA-Ser
Rfam family: tRNA
About the family: Transfer RNA (tRNA) molecules are approximately 80 nucleotides in length. Their secondary structure includes four short double-helical elements and three loops (D, anti-codon, and T loops).
Source: RNAcentral
GUUGUCGUGGCCGAGUGGGUAAGAUUAGAAAUCGUUUGGGAUUUUCCCGCGCAGGUUCGAUUCCUGCCGACAUCG